AAGUCUCUUGGAGGAGACAUGAAACGUUUCACUAUAGAAGAACCAUCCAGAGGAACUACUGAUUUUUAUUUUAGAAGACAGAAACCAGGUCAGAGUCUCAUCAGUCCUGAGGUUUCUGGUCUCUAAGUCCUAUAGUUUCUGGUCUCUGAGUCCUAUAGCUUCUGGUCUCUGAGUCCUAUAGUUUCUGGUCUCUGAGUCCUAUAGUUUCUGGUCUCUAAGUCCUAUAGCUUCUGGUCUGUAAGUCCUAUAGUUACUGGUCUGUAAGUCCUAUAGUUUCUGGUCUCUGAGUCCUAUAGUUUCUGGUCUCUAGGUCCUAUAGUUUCUGGUCUGUAAGUUCUAUAGUUUCUGGUCUGUAAUUCAUAAAGUUCCUUGUCUGUAAGUCCUAUGGUUUCUGGUCUGUAAGUCCUAUGGUUUCUGGUCUCUAGGUCCUAUAGUUUCUGGUCUCUAGGUCCUAUAGUUUCUGGUCUCUGAGUCCUAUAGUUUCUGGUCUGUAAGUCCUAUAGUUUCUGGUCUCUAGGUCCUAUAGUUUCUGGUCUGUAAUUCAUAAAGUUCCUGGUCUCUAGGUCCUAUAGUUUCUGGUCUCUAGGUCCUAUAGUUUCUGGUCUCUAGGUCCUAUAGUUUCUGGUCUCUAGGUCCUAUAGUUUCUGGUCUCUAGGUCCUAUAGUUUCUGGUCUGUAAUUCAUAAAGUUCCUGGUCUGUAAGUCCUAUAGUUCCUGGUUUUUGAGUCCUGAGGUUUCUGGUCUCAGGUCCAGCAGGGUCUUCAUGCUGUUAUCU
This is a long non-coding RNA of Austrofundulus limnaeus, 774 nucleotides long. RefSeq lists it as uncharacterized. The record is from RefSeq and is a predicted model, not a curated record. NCBI's taxonomy places the organism in Eukaryota, Metazoa, Chordata, Actinopteri, Cyprinodontiformes, Rivulidae. The transcript has 2 exons.